Molecule: ribosomal RNA, 301 nt
Filed under: uncultured bacterium
Lineage: Bacteria
Description: partial 16S ribosomal RNA
Rfam family: Bacterial small subunit ribosomal RNA
Source: RNAcentral
CAGUAGCCGCGGGAAUACGUAGGUGGCAAGCGUUGUCCGGAACUAUUGGGCGUAAAGCGCGCGCAGGCGGAUAGGUCAGUCUGUCUUAAAAGUUCGGGGCUUAACCCCGUGAUGGGAUGGAAACUGCCAAUCUAGAGUAUCGGAGAGGAAAGUGGAAUUCCUAGUGUAGCGGUGAAAUGCGUAGAUAUUAGGAAGAACACCAGUGGCGAAGGCGACUUUCUGGACGAAAACUGACGCUGAGGCGCGAAAGCCAGGGGAGCGAACGGGAUUAGAUACCCGCGUAGUCCCUGUCUCUUAUACC